RNAcentral lists this ribosomal RNA (468 nucleotides) under uncultured bacterium. RNAcentral describes it as "partial 16S ribosomal RNA". It matches the Rfam family "Bacterial small subunit ribosomal RNA", at positions 28 to 507 of the family's 1533-position model. The record is from RNAcentral.
GACGAACGCUGGCGGCGUGCUUAACACAUGCAAGUCGAACGGAAAGGCCCUGCUUUUGUGGGGUGCUCGAGUGGCGAACGGGUGAGUAACACGUGAGUAACCUGCCCUUGACUUUGGGAUAACUUCAGGAAACUGGGGCUAAUACCGGAUAGGAGCUCCUGCUGCAUGGUGGGGGUUGGAAAGUUUCGGCGGUUGGGGAUGGACUCGCGGCUUAUCAGCUUGUUGGUGGGGUAGUGGCUUACCAAGGCUUUGACGGGUAGCCGGCCUGAGAGGGUGACCGGCAACAUUGGGACUGAGAUACGGCCCAGACUCCUACGGGAGGAAGCAGGGGGGAAUAUUGCAAAAUGGGCGGAAGCCGGAUGAAGCAACGCCGCGUGCGGGAUGACGGCCUUCGGGUUGUAAACCGCUUUCGCCUGUGACGAAGCGUGAGUGACGGUAAUGGGUAAAGAAGCACCGGCUAACUACGUG